CCCCGCCGCUCUCUCCAGACGAUAAAGAAUUAACGGUCCCUGCUAUUAGAUUACUCACACGGGAACAAGUCCACGUGGUUAAUUGUAAGGAGAUGCGAUGGAAUGCGCUACUUCGCGACAUGAAUUGUACACGUCACCACUGUUAAAGUCCUAUUGAGUGCGCCCAAAACAUCUUGUUUUGAAGCGGUAUUCGUCUCAGGGUUUACGAUUCCUUGUAAUGGCAUAACGAUCCUGACACGUGGACAAAAUCUGUUUGCUUACUGUUUCGAAUUAGUUACUUACAAGUCAAUGCGAGCGACGAUUUCUCAACAGAGGGAAUCCUUUCCCAUGGUGAACUCCGUCAGCGGCAACCUCAGCAUUUUCCUUAGUUGGGAGGACCGUUCAUUUUUCACGAGGUGGAAAGGGGGGAGGGGAGCCGGUGAAAGAGAUGCACCCUAUAUUGCACAGAUGCUGCAAUCAAACCAUUUCAGCAACGUGGCAGGAAGCAGAAUAAUUACAAGCCUCAAGCUUGACGUUAGAGAAAAUGUGUACUGCUUCCCGUGUCUUGUAGAGUAUCUUCUGCUUAAAUAUUACGAAAGUGACUCACACAGCGCUAACAGCACAAGCGACAAGGAAGAGCUUGAAGAAAAUUAGCAGUAAUUUUUAAUGUUUGACUUCAUUAUAGUUUGCAGGCCUUAGGAGCUUGCAGGUAGCUCGGGCUUUUCUGGUCGAGCUACCACUAAAAACACGAUAAUGAAAAGUAAGUAACUAAAAAGAAAGAAAACUUUGUUGGUUUAGCUAAGUUCCCUAGCUUAGCUUUAAAAUGGUAUUCUGUAGCCACAGAAAUGUUUUCCAGUGCAGAAGGAACUUCUGUGUAGAUUUGAAAUCUACUUUGUGUAUUUUGGUAGGGAUAUAUAUAUUUUAAAAUAGUACAACAUUUUCAAUCUUAAAGUAGUGCAGAAAUAUUUUGCGUGAUCCCCCCUCUUCUCCCCCAUUUUGUUUGCUACUCCCCCUUUCAGGCCAUUUUUUUACGUAAUUCCCCUAAUCCCACCAGCCCCCCCCCCCAACUUGUAAAGAAUAAACGGUCCCUAAUGUCGGUUAAUCAUGAAAAAAGGGGAAAAAGUGUAUGUUUCCUAAAAUUAAAAUGUUAGGUAGAAAAUGUAUAUCCAUGUUGCUUUUUAAAAUUAAAAGUACGUGCAUUGAAGCAAGACGGACACCAAAGCCAUCCGAGUGAAAAGACAACGCGACAUUUUUCCGUGGAUAUUAAUAAGAAAACUCGAAGAAAAAUUGUAUAAUAGAAUACUUCAAGUGUGAUCAAAUCUGUUAAAAGGGAAGUUAAUAAAUCCGAUGAUGCCAUAAUGUGGCUACACAUUUUGUGUAAGCCACACAAAAAUGUUUACGUCAUUGGGAAGUAUGGUGACCGUUAGACGGUCUAUGGUAGUCUAGGGUUAACUGAAAGGCCUUUGUUUAGCCGCAUGAACUCUGAACAGAUCAAUCAGGUAGUGUUUUUGAUAAUCUUCUCUUAAAGCAAAUAAUCGUUGUAGUUUAGUUCAGUUGUUUCCGCGCCUUCGUAUUGAUCACUCAGCAAAAAGAAAACAAAGAUCAAAAAUAGGCAUGUGUAUGAAUCUCUCCUAUAGUUUUCGAUCAAAUAUCGGUGCUUUAGUUUCUAGUUUAAUUUCCUUUGCAACUGACUAUGUGCUUUCGUCAAAAUGAUUUUGGAAACAAUAUCUCGCCCAGCAGCAGAGUUUACUUUGGGCGAUCAGUUAGGUCUUGUCGUUAUUUGCUUAUGUAGAGUGUUUAUCAACAUAAUUUCGCAAGACAUUACCACGUAUUUUAAUCAUUUUAUACGAAACCAUUAUCUACCUUAAUUCUUAGUUAAUACUUCAUAUUCAUAGAAUGUUUAGUGUACGGCUUUCCCCGGUUAUACAACAAUUAGAUGUAAAGGGAAUAUAGUAGUGGGUUACAUAUCUGACUGUUGUUAAAUGAGAGCCCAUGAAAUAUAACUUAAUUAGAGUCGC
Molecule: long non-coding RNA, 1997 nt
Filed under: Stylophora pistillata
Lineage: Eukaryota; Metazoa; Cnidaria; Anthozoa; Scleractinia; Pocilloporidae
Description: uncharacterized LOC111333239
Source: RNAcentral